Molecule: ribosomal RNA, 480 nt
Filed under: uncultured Acidobacteriota bacterium
Lineage: Bacteria; Pseudomonadati; Acidobacteriota
Description: bacterial SSU rRNA
Rfam family: Bacterial small subunit ribosomal RNA
Source: RNAcentral
UUGAUCCUGGCUCAGAAUCAACGCUGGCGGCGCGCCUAACACAUGCAAGUCGAACGAGAAAGUGGAGCAAUCCAUGAGUAAAGUGGCGUACGGGUGAGUUACACGUGGAUCAUCUACCUUCUAGUGGGGAAUACCGUUGGGAAACCGACUACAAUACCGCAUAAGCUCGAGAGAGGAAAGCCGCAAGGCGCUGGAAGAGUAGUCCGCGGCUGAUUAGCUAGUUGGUGAGGUAAUGGCUCACCAAGGCUCUGAUCAGUAGCCGGCCUGAGAGGGCACACGGCCACACUGGCACUGAAACAUGGGCCAGACUCCUACGGGAGGCAGCAGUGGGGAAUCUUGCACAAUGGGGUAAACCCUGAUGCAGCGACGCCGCGUGAGCGAUGAAGCCCUUCGGGGUGUUAAGCUCUUUCGGCAGGGAAGAUUAUGACGGUACCUGCAGAAGCAGCUGCUGCUAACUACGUGCCAGCAGCCGCGGUAAUU